RNAcentral lists this ribosomal RNA (234 nucleotides) under uncultured bacterium. Its description in RNAcentral is "partial 16S ribosomal RNA". It matches the Rfam family "Bacterial small subunit ribosomal RNA", at positions 118 to 347 of the family's 1533-position model. The record is from RNAcentral.
UGAGGAACAUGACCUUCGGCGGGGGAUAGCCGGCCCAACGGCCGGGUAAUACCGCGUACGACCACUCGGGGACAUCCCUAGGUGGUGAAAGCAGCAAUGCGCCGAUGGAGUGCCUCGCGGCCUAUCAGCUAGUUGGUGAGGUAACGCUCACCAAGGCGACGACGGGUAGCUGGUCUGAGAGGAUGGCCAGCCACAUUGGGACUGAGACACGGCCCAGACUCCGUACGGGAGCAG